Molecule: long non-coding RNA, 462 nt
Organism: Mesocricetus auratus (golden hamster)
Lineage: Eukaryota; Metazoa; Chordata; Mammalia; Rodentia; Cricetidae
Exons: 3
Source: RefSeq, a predicted model, not a curated record
UUUAGAAGUGUUGCGUGUGUCCUGUCUUUGAACUCUCCUGGUGAGAGGCGUUUAGAGUCUGGGAGUUCCCUUCGCCAACGUUGUUGGCACGUACCUCAGCCCUGCCCACAUGGUGGGCCGCACCCCUUCUCGUCCGCCCCCUCGCAGGCCGGCUCCCGAGGUUUGCUCGCCCAGGUGAGCCCCGCAGACUUAACAAAGAGCACAGGCGCACCCUCGUGUGCCACCUCGCGGCGGCCUCCAGGAGAGCCUUGGAUAGGACCUUCUGGGCUGAAGUAGACCUUGGCUGCUAAUUUCUGCAUGGGUGGCAUCUAAGGACAGAACACUUAUCCAGUGAACGUUUGGAUUGGACAGCAGCAAACAAAGAGCCCAGGCACCAGUACUCAGGCAUGUGCCAGCCAUAUCGUUUUGAUUCUGAUUGUCCUUCUGCCUCACCAUAACUUCUUCAAUGAAGCGUCCCAGGUA